UCCAGACUCCUACGGGAGGCAGCAGUGGGGGAUAUUGCACAAUGGGGGGAACCCUGAUGCAGCGACGCCGCGUGGGUGAAGGAGCGUUUCGGCGCGUAAAGCCCUAUCGGCAGGGAAGAAGGAGGACGGUACCUGACUAAGAAGCCCCGGCUAACUACGUGCCAGCAGCCGCGGUAAUACGUAGGGGGCAAGCGUUAUCCGGAUUUACUGGGUGUAAAGGGGGCGCAGACGGCAGCGCAAGCCAGGAGUGAAAGCCCGGGGCCCAACCCCGGGACUGCUCUUGGAACUGCGCGGCUGGAGUGCAGGAGGGGCAGGCGGAAUUCCUGGUGUAGCGGUGAAAUGCGUAGAUAUCAGGAGGAACACCGGUGGCGAAGGCGGCCUGCUGGACUGCGACUGACGUUGAGGCCCGAAAGCGUGGGGAGCAAACAGGAUUAGAUACCCGUGUAGA
RNAcentral lists this ribosomal RNA (448 nucleotides) under uncultured bacterium. RNAcentral describes it as "partial 16S ribosomal RNA". It matches the Rfam family "Bacterial small subunit ribosomal RNA", at positions 330 to 794 of the family's 1533-position model. The record is from RNAcentral.